Molecule: long non-coding RNA, 1038 nt
Filed under: Anas platyrhynchos platyrhynchos (common mallard)
Lineage: Eukaryota; Metazoa; Chordata; Aves; Anseriformes; Anatidae
Description: lncRNA (ENSAPLG00000029889.1)
Source: RNAcentral
AUGCAGCGAGAUGUUGGGACAGGUCACGUAGGUGCACGCUGUGCUCCACUGCAUUUCUUGUCCACGUCUGGGCGUCUGUCCUCCAGCCGGCGGUGGUCUCCUCACUCUUUUGGAAGGGGUCGGCUCCCGUGUGGGUCCCUGCAUGCCCACGGCAGUGAUCCGAGGGUUAGGCAUUUUUGUAUGGCAAGCACAGACCCAGGGAUUCCUCAGCAUGUUCCCAUCCAGCUGAGGACCCCCCUCUCCUUUCCACUGCAAGACAGCAGUGGGUGCCUGGGCUUAGCUGGGUGUUUUCUGCAGCCCCCAGACCCCUUGAGUUUACCUUCAGGGGGCUGUCAGGACAAAAGAGGCCAGAUGAGGCUGCCGGGGCAGCACGGUGGGCUGGGACGACCCCAAGAGCUCCCAGGACAGGUGGGAUGCCUGCACACCUUCCUGCCUGCCCCGGCUCCCUGCUGCAGCCUCCUCACCAUGGGAAUUGGGGAUUUGGGGUGUGGGAGCACCCCAAAAGAGAAGAGAGGAGCUGCCAGCAGGUCCCAGUGCGAGGAUGCAGGCAUGGGGAGGGGGGGCCGGGGUGCUGGGUGUGGGGAUCAGGCUGUGAGAGGCUCCCACAAACAACUAAAAAAAAAAACCCUGAAUAUUUCAGAAAGGUGUUUUCUCUGUUAUUUUUGCUCCCCUCCCUUUAUUCCCAGUCCUCCCCACCUCUCCCAGAGCUGCCCUUCAGCUCCGCUCCCCACCGAGCCGCUCCCGCAGCCGCCGAGCCCCACGCCGCAGCCUCCCCAAACUCCUCGUAUUUUUUUCCCAUUUGCUCCGUUUUUAUUUAUUUCCCCCUUCUUCUUUAUUUUUUUUUCCUUCCGUCUUCAUUUCUCCUUCCCCUUUCCUUUCCCUCCCACUCCCUUUUCUCACGGCAGACCCCUUCACCCCCCCUCCAACCCCCUUCCCAAGCUCGCCGCCACCGCCAACCCCGAGCCCUUGCGGGGCCGAGGGGCUGCGAGGCGCGGGGUGGCUCGGGGGGUCGCGGGGGGCUUUGCAUUGAUGCAUUGA